ACGUUCCUAUGAUGCGUUGUGAAUAUAAGGUAAUAUUUUUUUUUUAACAAAAUGCAUUUCGGACUAUAUAACUCAGCGGAAGGAUAUUGCAGUAAAAGAAAAGGGCUAUGCGGCUCACUACGGGGUCUCCCGAAAGCCCCUGCAUAUGAGGACACCGGAAGUUCCGUCCACAGUUCUGGGACACUGCUUUCCCAUUGGCUGCAUUCCAGGAAGUGAAGUGUCAUGGGUCUCGCCGCUAGUAGUCGUAAGUGGGCCAGCGGUGUACCAGGUGUUUUCCAGAAACUAGUGUCGGGGCGGUGAGAGGGAGAAUGGGAUUGCGGGAGUCGAGCUGCUGCCGCCCGGGAUCGAGAGGAGCCAGCUGAGGUGUCCUGGGCCUGUGGUGAGGACGCACCCUGGCCGUCUCCUGCGCACGGCCAGGCUCGCUGGAGGGAGUAGGUCUCUCAGGGAAUCCCCCAGGAGCAGCUGGAGACUGUUGCUAGGGAAAAAGGGGUCUAGUCUGCCCUGCCCUGCGCAGCCUGUUAGCACUGCAGCCCUUCACCAGGAAUAAGCAGAUGAUGAUGAUGUUUUUUAUCAAUAAUUACUAUACUAAAGGGAACAGAACCUUUAAAUCGCAGGAGACCUCCUCUCAUUUGUAACUGUUAUUAUGUUGUUUAAGUUUUCACUCUCCAGAGUGAAGGGAAACCUUUCUUCAGUGCUUUUCUAGUUUACAAUGUUUUUAAAUAUCAUAACAGUCAUAUAAAUUAAUAAUAAUAAUUAUACAUUAAAGAUGUUUUUAACUAUUUUGAUUAAAGCUCAAAAGCACAGGUCUUUCAAAACACACUGAAAAUAAGGUCAAAGUGUGAAAUGAAAAGCUUUUGUUUUGUGUGGAUUUUAGAGUUCCUUUAGAAAUAAAGGACAACAACUUUGGUA
Long non-coding RNA from Lepisosteus oculatus (spotted gar), 909 nucleotides. RefSeq lists it as uncharacterized. The record is from RefSeq and is a predicted model, not a curated record. Lineage: Eukaryota; Metazoa; Chordata; Actinopteri; Semionotiformes; Lepisosteidae.